This 248-nucleotide ribosomal RNA is filed under the name uncultured bacterium. RNAcentral's name for it is "partial 16S ribosomal RNA". It matches the Rfam family "Bacterial small subunit ribosomal RNA", at positions 524 to 771 of the family's 1533-position model. The record is from RNAcentral.
UACGAAGGGGGCUAGCGUUGUUCGGAGUACUGGGCGUAAAGCGUGCGCAGGCGGUUAUGUAAGACAGAUGUGAAAUCCCCGGGCUCAACCUGGGAACUGCAUUUGUGACUGCAUAGCUAGAGUACGGUAGAGGGGGAUGGAAUUCCGCGUGUAGCAGUGAAAUGCGUAGAUAUGCGGAGGAACACCGAUGGCGAAGGCAAUCCCCUGGACCUGUACUGACGCUCAUGCACGAAAGGCGUGGGGAGCAA